AUUGAACGCUGGCGGCAGGCCUAACACAUGCAAGUCGAGCGGAGCGGCGGACGGGUGAGUAACGCCUAGGUAUCUGCCUGUUAGUGGGGGAUAACGUCCGGAAACGGGCGCUAAUACCGCAUACUAUCAGAUGAGCCUAGCUGGGAUUAGCUAGUUGGUGGGGUAAAGGCCUACCAAGGCGACGAUCCGUAACUGGUCUGAGAGGAUGAUCAGUCACACUGGAACUGAGACACGGUCCAGACGCCUACGGGAGGCAGCAGUGGGGAAUAGUGGGCAAUGGGCGCAAGCCUGGUGCAGCCAUGCCGCGUGUAUGAAGAAGGCCUUCGGGUUGUAAAGUACUGUCAGCGGGGAGGCGUUACCCGCAGAAGAAGCACCGGCUAACUCCGUGCCAGCAGCCGCGGUAAUUC
Molecule: ribosomal RNA, 407 nt
Filed under: uncultured bacterium
Lineage: Bacteria
Description: partial 16S ribosomal RNA
Rfam family: Bacterial small subunit ribosomal RNA
Source: RNAcentral